Molecule: long non-coding RNA, 718 nt
Organism: Homarus americanus (American lobster)
Lineage: Eukaryota; Metazoa; Arthropoda; Malacostraca; Decapoda; Nephropidae
Exons: 4
Source: RefSeq, a predicted model, not a curated record
CACCACCUGUUACUUGUCCUCUCCUGCCUCCAGCGUCAAUACCUCACCUGUCUACCUCCGCCAUCAGCCUCCCCGACACAGAUCUUCAUCACUGAGCUCUUAAGACAUGAUGGGGCGCGUAAUGACCACAUUCCUACUUAUGCUGAUAGCUGUCGGGGUCACACUCACUCUGCCAGAGCCUCUGAGUCCUGUGCUCAAGAGGUUAGUGAGGUCUCAAUGCAUCAACGCCACAACACUCCAGCACUACUCCUGCCAGUGUGACCUCAACGGCUCCUACAAUGCCAUCGCAGACGUCUCCUCCUUCUGCCUCCCGCCAUCUUACCAAGAACUCUGCUAUCAAUUCUUCCCUGACACCACAGCCUCCUCCCCCUGUGGAUGCUGUGUGAUCUUGGACGACACUCUGUGCUAGUGGGUUAGAUAGAACUAGACAAAACAAAGAUGACGGAAUACAAACAGAAAAGAGUGGAGAAUAACGAGGAGUUAAAGCGCAUUAGAAGCCAGCAGUAAUGUUAAGAAACAAAUAAUUAUUCACAAAAUUUUCACCAUGUUGACUAAUGGACACAAAGUGCAAAAAAGAAUAGACAACCAUACCCAUGGACGGACAACCAUACCCAUGGACGGACAACCAUACCCAUGGACGGACAACCAUACCCAUGGACGGACAACCAUACCCAUGGACGGACAACCAUACCCAUGGACGGACAACCAUACCCAUGGA